UAUGACAAUUUAAGUACUUUUUCCACCACUGUACUUGAGUACAUUUAAAACAAGAUAGUUUUAGACUUAUUUUUACUCGGUGACUUUGACUCGAGUCAUUUUCCUUUAAAAAGGCAUCUUUACAUUUACUUCAUUAUGACAAUUGAGUACUUUUUCCACCACUGAUUAAUGCCAAGAUUAAGAUAUUUCUCCAUUUCUAUUUUAGAUUGACGAUUAGAAGAUAUUUUUGUAUCCGAGUGUUUAUUUACCCAUUUACAAACCUUAUUUAUGGUUGUAUAACCACCCACUAGCCUUCCAAUCCUUGCUUCCUCCGUCCUUGCUUCCUCCGUCCUUGCUUCCUCCGUCCUUGGUUUCCUCCAUUCCUCACCUCUCUUUCAAAGCACAUCAGAGGAACAGGCCUGAGUUUAGGAACUUCAAUGCUCUCCCUCAAGGUGCUGUGAUAGGGAGUUGAGGAACUUCAAUGCUCUCCCUCAAGGUGCUGUGAUAGGGAGUUGAGGAACUCAAUGCUCUCCCUCAAGGUGCUGUGAUAGGGAGUUGAGCAACUCAAUCCUCUCCCUCAAGGUGCUGUGAUAGGGAGUUGAGCAACUCAAUCCUCUCCCUCAAGGUGCUGUGAUAGGGAGUUGAGGAAUUCAAUGCUCUCCCUCAAGGUGCUGUGAUAGGGAGUUGAGGAACUCAAUGCUCUCCCUCAAGGUGCUGUGAUAGGGAGUUGAGGAACUCAAUGCUCUCCCUCAAGGUGCUGUGAUAGGGAGUUGAGGAAUUCAAUGCUCUCCCUCAAGGUGCUGUGAUAGGGAGUUGAGGAAUUCAAUGCUCUCCCUCAAGGUGCUGUGAUAGGGAGUUGAGGAACUCAAACCUCUCCCUCAAGGUGCUGUGAUAGGGAGUUGAGGAACUCAAUGCUCUCCCUCAAGGUGCUGUGAUAGGGAGUUGAGGAAUUCAAUGCUCUCCCUCAAGGUGCUGUGAUAGGGAGUUGAGGAACUCAAUGCUCUCCCUCAAGGUGCUGUGAUAGGGAGUUGAGGAACUUCA
This is a long non-coding RNA of Oncorhynchus keta (chum salmon), 1020 nucleotides long. RefSeq lists it as uncharacterized. The transcript has 5 exons. Lineage: Eukaryota; Metazoa; Chordata; Actinopteri; Salmoniformes; Salmonidae. The record is from RefSeq and is a predicted model, not a curated record.